GUGUCAGCCGCCGCGGUAAUACGUAUGGGGCAAGCGUUAUCCGGAUUCAUUGGGCGUAAAGAGCGCGUAGGCGGCUUGGUAAGUCAGAUGUGAAAACUGGGGGCUCAACCCGCAGCCUGCAUCUGAAACUUCCAGGCUUGAGUCUGGUAGAGGAAAGUGGAAUUCCCAGUGUAGCGGUGAAAUGCGCAGAUAUUGGGAGGAACACCAGUGGCGAAGGCGGCUUUCUGGGCCACGACUGACGCUGAGGCGCGAAAGCUAGGGGAGCAAACAGGAUUAGAUACCCUCGUAGUCC
RNAcentral lists this ribosomal RNA (292 nucleotides) under uncultured bacterium. RNAcentral describes it as "partial 16S ribosomal RNA". It matches the Rfam family "Bacterial small subunit ribosomal RNA", at positions 505 to 796 of the family's 1533-position model. The record is from RNAcentral.